ACUUGACAUUGCAAAAUGCAGUGAGAAAUGCACAAUUACUAAAUACUAUACUCAGGUUGAGAAAAUGAAUUCCUCCUGCCCAUAUAAAAAGACCUCACAAGCAUUAGGCUCAGAGUUUCACAUCACCUGCGGAUCUCACACUGCUCUCUCCUGUCUUUGACAAUAACUUUCUGGCUCUGACAGUCAAUCUGUUGAAAGAACUUGAUCUUGCACAACACACUGACUAAUACAAUAUGGGCAUGGGUUCAUCUCAGCCUUUAUAAAGACUCUGGAACCUCAUGUGUGACUGGCACAGAAAAUCAGAUCACCUGUAUCUCUCAGCUGCUGUCUUUUGGCUCCAACUAUCAAUCUGUGUGCAGGAUAAAGUUUGCCAUGAUCUUUCUCAUGUUGACGCUGGUCGUCCUCAUGACUGAACCUGGAGAGUGUGGUUUUGUGCGUCUGGGACGAAGAUGGACAGAUUUCAAGCGUGGUAUGGACUCAUCUGGAGGGCCUGCAGAACAAGAAGUUGUCCAACAGGAUGCUGAAGCCUAUAAUCGCUGAAUUGAAAGAUCACACCAAGAUGCAGUUUUCAAGCUGUAUGAAUUGGGGGGAAAUACAUUACCACAUUACCCCAGACCAGUGAUCUCAGUUCUAACUGGUUUUGGAAAAAUGUCAAACUGCUUGAUAUUGCAAAAUGCAAAAAGUCAAACUCUGCUUUGUGUUAUUUAUGAAUACUACAAAACAAAAUAAAACUUACUAAAGACGUCUAGUGGGGACCAACUACAACCAUUAGAUUUUACAUUAAUUUGCUUUGGGUGGUGCCCAACAUGGCUUCAGUACUCCACCUGAGCCUUAUAAAGGUGGGGAAAACCCUGACUGAGCUAAGAUAUUAUGUAAACCUUGAUGUUAAUGGAAGACUCUACACAACUUCUAAGUUUCUUCACAGAAAAAGAGCUUGAAAAACAUGUAGAUGAUAUCAUGAGGUCAGAAUCUGAGAUUAAAACACUUUGUGAACAUGGCCUUAUCUCCAUCUUGAUAAAGAUUUGGGCAUGGUGAAAAUUUCAGCUUGUUAUUUCAACA
Lates calcarifer (barramundi perch) is the source of this 1059-nucleotide long non-coding RNA. RefSeq lists it as uncharacterized. The transcript has 5 exons. The record is from RefSeq and is a predicted model, not a curated record. Lineage: Eukaryota; Metazoa; Chordata; Actinopteri; Centropomidae.